UUAGCCCGUUAAUUGAUGAAAAAAGGUAGUUAGCCAAGAUACACAUGCGAUUACCCCUGCGAUGUUCUAUAAUGUGUUCAACGAUAUGUGCAAAAUUCCACAGCCCGACAUUUGUACCUCUAGCACUGGGCCACAAUGUUUAUAACCCGGGAUAUAAUACUCACAGUGGUUUUAUUAUACUUAUACUUUCAACUCAACGAAGAAGUCCGUUCGGUGAACUUGUCUGACCUCUCGACCGGCCAACGACGUAGACGCUGAGGUACGCGUGAAUUUUUUAAUAGGCCAAGAGAGCUACGAAACUCCACGGACAACACAAACUCCUGGUCAGUAUCUAGCAACGGUCAAACAGUGUAGAGACUUGGAACCGCAUACAUCAAGGGUGAAAUGGAAUUGCAGCAUCUGGCAGAUGUGACAUCAAGGAAAAUCGUAAUUUAUCCAAAUUGAAGGACCCACCAGCCGACACACACAACAUGUAUGGAUUCACCUCGUUAAUCUAUGAUGACCAUAAUGGAUCAGCUGACGACCGACUAAUAGAACGAAAAUAUUAAUGUAAAAAUACUGGAAGCAUCCGGGUUUAUUCUCCCAAAGUGAGUUCCGUUCGUUGAAUCAUUAUUCGUAAGGCUGAGCCAACGAAUAAACAUGAGAAAAUUAUUAACCCGACAAAUGCAUGAAAAACGAAAAAAGAAAAAACCAAAGUGCCUCUAUAAUCAUAAAAAAAUGGCGUACAGUAAUUUUCGAGUUAAUAUCUUAAUUUGAAUGUUAAAUGAACGUCAUUAAAGAGUAAAUAACGAACAAAAAUUGUGUAUAUGAGAUUUUUAGUGGGAUAUAUUAAAGG
Long non-coding RNA from Diachasmimorpha longicaudata, 835 nucleotides. RefSeq lists it as uncharacterized. The transcript is spliced from 3 exons. Lineage: Eukaryota; Metazoa; Arthropoda; Insecta; Hymenoptera; Braconidae. The record is from RefSeq and is a predicted model, not a curated record.